GCCUAGUUAGCUUAGUUGGUAGUGCGUCUGCCUUGUAAGCGCUAUACCGUGGGUUCGAUUCCCGCCCGGGGCG
Molecule: transfer RNA, 73 nt
Filed under: Diaphorina citri (Asian citrus psyllid)
Lineage: Eukaryota; Metazoa; Arthropoda; Insecta; Hemiptera; Psyllidae
Rfam family: tRNA
About the family: Transfer RNA (tRNA) molecules are approximately 80 nucleotides in length. Their secondary structure includes four short double-helical elements and three loops (D, anti-codon, and T loops).
Source: Rfam by way of RNAcentral